ACCAGACUCCUACGGGAGGCAGCAGUGAGGAAUAUUGGUCAAUGGCCGCAGGGCUGAACCAGCCAAGUCGCGUGAGGGAUGACGGUCCUAUGGAUUGUAAACCUCUUUUGUCAGGGAGCAAAGGGCGCCACGUGUGGCGCUUUGCGAGUACCUGAAGAAAAAGCAUCGGCUAACUCCGUGCCAGCAGCCGCGGUAAUACGGGGGAUGCAAGCGUUGUCCGGAAUCAUUGGGCGUAAAGAGUUCGUAGGUGGCACGUUAAGUCUGGUGUUAAAUGCAGAGGCUCAACCUCCGUUCGGCACUGGAUACUGGCGAGCUUGAAUGCGGUAGAGGUAAAGGGAAUUCCUGGUGUAGCGGUGAAAUGCGUAGAUAUCAGGAGGAACGUCGGUGGCGUAAGCGCUUUACUGGGCCGUAAUUGACACUGAGGAACGAAAGCCAGGGUAGCAAAUGGGAUUAGAUACCCUUGUAU
This 466-nucleotide ribosomal RNA is filed under the name uncultured bacterium. Its description in RNAcentral is "bacterial SSU rRNA". It matches the Rfam family "Bacterial small subunit ribosomal RNA", at positions 330 to 793 of the family's 1533-position model. The record is from RNAcentral.